ACAGAAGAGGUGGUAUCUGUACAGUGCUUUGAGUUUUAAAUUGUUUCUAUUUCAGUCCUGUUUGCAACCAUACUAACCUUUUAACAGCAGGGCUCCUGCCAAGGAUCAAUUACUUGCCAGGGGAUUUUUUUUUUUAAAGCUCAAAUUUGAUACAAGCCUCGGAUUCUUUUUCCUCCCUUUCAUACAAUAUAUAAUUCCAAGCCCUCACUGUUCACAAACUUUCCAAGAACUGUAUUUAGACAAAAUGUAAACUGGCAUAUUUUCCAUUCACUUCAUGGAAAUAUUCCGAACCACUUUUGCAAGCAGCUGAAGAUGUGCUUUUAUCUUGCCAUGAAGUCAUAAAGUUUAAUUUGCAACAUCACAGUUGCUUCUAUGGCAACAGAUGGUGACAUCAAACACAGGAUCAUGACUUCACUGUAGGAUCAAGAAGGAUUAGCUUUGCACCGAGGAAGUUAAGAUCUAAUACAAACAAAUAGCUAUAACAACUGCAAAGGGAAUUUACAGCGGGAUGGUUUACUCCUUGUCUAGAGCCUACCCUGGGUGGGACAGCAUGUGCAAUCAAAGAAUCAGCUUCCCCUGAGGAAAAAUAUGGAGAUGGAUCUCUCCAGGACACAGCUGAGUCUGAUGGAAAUCCACGUUCUGCAGCUGUUGCAAGGACUCUUGCAGGCACAGCCCUCAGCACGUUGAAGUGCCACACACACGCUGAGCCGAGCGACCGCUCACGCGCUGACACGCGACUUCAUCACAGCAGAUGCCACGUCUUUCAACAAGUGGGAUUUAACUUUCUGAGAAGUUUUCAAAGGGAUUCUGCUGGACUACAGCAUCCUCUGUGUCUCCCCAGACAGUUUUUACGCUGAAACAGUGCCAGCCUGGACAGCUUUGCUGCCUGCAGAAGCAGUGAGCUGGGCACUGUGAGCAUCCCCCAUGGCAAGAACUGCCACCGGGGGUAUAAAGGAGGCUGCUCUGCCUGAAGAACAUGGCAACUCCUCUGCCAGCUUUCUGCAGACCCACGAGGCAGAGCAGUGGCUCCAUCUAGCACUGCCUUGGAGACCAGAAACAGCAAAGAGACUGCAGAAGCAAGCGUGCUUCAGUGGUGUGGAGGAAGAAAAGACAAGGAGAUGUACAUAUCUGGAUCUUUUAGCAAUUAGCCCAAGCAACAGGAGGAACAGCCACUGAGCACACACUGAACAGGCGCUGAAGGCACCUACAGGAAGGGCCAACUUGCAGAAAACUAUUUUGCAACAUCUGCGGCACCUAGAAACAUUAAA
Lepidothrix coronata (blue-crowned manakin) is the source of this 1268-nucleotide long non-coding RNA. RefSeq lists it as uncharacterized. Lineage: Eukaryota; Metazoa; Chordata; Aves; Passeriformes; Pipridae. The record is from RefSeq and is a predicted model, not a curated record. The transcript is spliced from 4 exons.